GAAAAGAACUUUGAAAAGAGAGUUAAACAGUACGUGAAAUUGUUGAAAGGGAAACGAUUGAAGCCAGUCGUACCUAUGGGUAAUCAGCCUUUUGGGUGUGAUUUUGUGGAGCGUGAAGAGUUAAACGCCUUCAUGCCUGCAUAUUCGUGCACUUUGGGUGUACUUGCCCGUGUGUAAGUUAACAUCAAUUUUGGUGGUCAUAAAAUGGCUGGAGGAAUGUAGCUUCGAUCUUGUAUUGAAGUGUUAUAGCCUUCGGUAGAUGUGACGAUCGGGAUUGAGGAUUGCAACGGAUACCCUUCG
Molecule: unclassified non-coding RNA, 300 nt
Filed under: uncultured Basidiomycota
Lineage: Eukaryota; Fungi; Basidiomycota
Description: sequence contains 5.8S rRNA gene, ITS2
Source: RNAcentral